GGGCCCAUAGCUCAGCGGCAGAGCAGCCGGCUCAUAACCGGUCGGUCCUAGGUUCGAUCCCUAGUGGGCCCACCA
Molecule: transfer RNA, 75 nt
Filed under: Peptococcaceae bacterium
Lineage: Bacteria; Bacillati; Bacillota; Clostridia; Eubacteriales; Peptococcaceae
Description: tRNA-Ile
Rfam family: tRNA
About the family: Transfer RNA (tRNA) molecules are approximately 80 nucleotides in length.
Source: RNAcentral